RNAcentral lists this transfer RNA (73 nucleotides) under Dipodomys ordii (Ord's kangaroo rat). It matches the Rfam family "tRNA". From Rfam's summary of the family: Transfer RNA (tRNA) molecules are approximately 80 nucleotides in length. Their secondary structure includes four short double-helical elements and three loops (D, anti-codon, and T loops). Lineage: Eukaryota; Metazoa; Chordata; Mammalia; Rodentia; Heteromyidae. The record is from Rfam by way of RNAcentral.
GGGGGAAUGGCUUAAAUGGUAAGAGUGUCUACCAAGCAAGUACAAGCUGUAAGUUCAAACCUCACUAUCCCCA